This is a long non-coding RNA of Salvia hispanica, 722 nucleotides long. RefSeq lists it as uncharacterized. Lineage: Eukaryota; Viridiplantae; Streptophyta; Magnoliopsida; Lamiales; Lamiaceae. The record is from RefSeq and is a predicted model, not a curated record.
CCCAUUUUCUUCCCCCAUUAAUUCAACUUCCACCCACCCUCUCUCAUCCUCCAUUAAUCUUCAAAACCGCAAAACCUAGCCGCCGCUUCAAAACCACAAAAACCACCCUCUCUUCGCGACGAAUGGCGUACACCCAGGCAAAUCGGUGAGUCUACAAUUCCGACGACCGAGGUUUGGUGGAAUAACUAAACGAUGGCUGGAACAAAGCAAGUGAAGUGCUUCGUUAAAAAUGGUCAACAAUCGAACCACUUCGAAGAGGCCUGCUAGCCAGUCAACAGGUAACAAAAGAGCAAGAAAUGUUCAGGAUGAGGACAUCAGGGAAGAUAUGCCAAAGUCAUCAAGGCAUGGAAUGCCUCAGGUAAACGAGGCAGCGGCUGAGGAGCAAGCUAAACAAGCUAGGAUUAUGAAGAAUGAAAAUCUAUAUUUCAGGAGAUGUCAAACUGAGUUUGUUCAUUUUAUAAAGAUGCUUAAUCCUCGACAGAUUCAAGUUAUCCAUGAGUUAGGCUUUGGUCUGGAAUAGGGUGUUAUUAUUAAAUAAUUAGCGGCAGUAAUUAUUGAAUUGCAUUUGGUUUUAGUAGUAAACUUAUGAGAUAGUUUUUGAUAGAUGGAUGUUUGGUCUUUGUAGUUAAUUUAUGAGAUUUUUUCUGAUGGAUGAAUAUUGGCCCUUUGUGGAAAACUUACGCGUUUUGUUUUGAUGAAUGGAUUUUGGUUUUUGUAGUGAA